Long non-coding RNA from Eurytemora carolleeae, 693 nucleotides. RefSeq lists it as uncharacterized. Lineage: Eukaryota; Metazoa; Arthropoda; Copepoda; Calanoida; Temoridae. The record is from RefSeq and is a predicted model, not a curated record. The transcript is spliced from 3 exons.
AUGUUGGAGGAAAAGGGAAGAAGUGAUGAGGAAGAAAUCAGGAACAUAAGUGAAGAACUCAGUAUUAUCAAGGAUUCAGACUCAGAUUGUAAAAAAGCAGUUGAUGAUCUUUUUGUUUGUCAGGUAUAUAUAAAUUAUCAGCAAAAACGUAUUAAAGCAUCAUAUGUUGAGAGAAUUUUUAAACUACAGUGAAUCCCAGAUAUAUAGAUACAUAGCAAGAGUUUUUUAAAUGUCGUAUUCUUAACCUAUUGAAGAUCAAAUGCCGCGUAAAACGAGUUUAAUAUUUCCCUGAAAUAAAAAAAAGUAUUUUCUGCAGAUUUAUCAAUAGCUAUUAUGACUCUCAACAAGGAUAUUUGGAUACAAAGUUUUUUAUGUUAACGGAUGGCAAGUAAUUCAUUGAAAUAUUACUAUGUAUGAUAAUUGUACUUCAGUUCAGUUUAGACUAUGUUACAUGGGUUACCCGACUGAACUGGGGUAUUUUAUAAGGGGGGGGCGGGGUGCUUACCACAGGAAAUUUUUUAAAGAAUUAAAUGCUAAAAUAUAAUUUUCUUAGACAUCAUCAUGUCCUUUGUACCAUUUCCCCUAGUUCAGACUUCAAAAUGUUCUCCUUUUAUUCAAUGACCUGAAACUAUUUAGAUUUGACUAUUAGCAGCAAUAAACUUUAUCUUAUCUUAUCUUAUGUUCAGGGUAGGG